This 1353-nucleotide long non-coding RNA is filed under the name Ficedula albicollis (Collared flycatcher). RNAcentral describes it as "lncRNA (ENSFALG00000025972.1)". Lineage: Eukaryota; Metazoa; Chordata; Aves; Passeriformes; Muscicapidae. The record is from RNAcentral.
AUGUCCCCGGUCCCCUCAGGGCCAGCCCAGCCAGGCAGAGAGGCAGCCGAGCUGGACUCCAGCACACAAAGGAGCAGGCCGGGAACAAUGGAGCCUCCCGCCCUGCCGCCAUGCCGGCCUCUGCCUCCGCCAGCCCCGGCGGUGGGAGCGGGCACCGGGGCACGGCCACACGGCUGCUGCCGCACGGGUCCCCUGUGCUGCUGUAAAAUCCCUGCAGGGGACACAAGACACCCACAGCCCCCCCCCACCAUCUUGUUCCUCAUCCGCUUUUCUCCCCCAGUUUCGGCAGCCCCUCGCCUGACACCCCCCAGACACGCUGGGAGCUGCGCGGGUGGGCGAGCACCCCGGGCUGGGCCGGGGGGGGGUCCCGGUGGGCAGGGGUUGUGUAAGGACAAGGCUCUGCCCCUGCCUCCCUCCCUGCCCGCUGCUCACUCACCCUUCUUCUUGAAGAAAGCCAGAAGCGAGGAGAGGUUCCUGCCCAUAAAAACCACCAUGGUGGCGGGGGAGAGGGUCUGGUCCCCGGGGAAGGGGGGCUCUGCCGCCCCCCGAGGAGGCUCAGUGUUGUGCCGAGGCUGCUGUCACCCGUGUGCCGGCGGGGCGGAUGCCGGGAGCCCCCCGCUCCCUCCCUCCGCCCUCAUCCGCACGGGCAGCAGCGGAGGAUGCUCGGCCAGGCGAAGACGCUCCGGCGCAGCUGCUUGCGAGCAGGGAGCAGCCGGAGCCGGGGACGGCUGCGCGGUGGCAGGAGGGGACAGUCCGGGAGGGGACAGACCGGGAGGGGACAGUCCCAGCUGCGCCCACCGCGCUCCUCCGCGGCAGAAGGAAAGAGGGGGCCCCUCCUCUGGCCUCCAGCUCGCUCCCCCGGCCCUCCCGCCUCCUCCCACGCACGGCACAGACCACAGGGAUCUGUUCUUCCAGGCUCGGGGCCAGCAUUUCCCCUACUCCUCCCUCUUGGACCCCUGGGAACCCCCCCCCCCCCCCCCCCCCCCCCCCCCCCCCCCCCCCCCCCCCCCCCCCCCCCCCCCCCCCCCCCCCCCCCCCCCCCCCCCCCCCCCCCCCCCCCCCCCCCCCCCCCCCCCCCCCCCCCAGUAUCCUGCUGGGUACAGCAAAGCUGCAAACCAGUUGCUCUCUUCCGCAACUGGAGGGUGGAACUGGGAGGUUCGUGCACCUUGGGCUAUGACACAGCAGUGUCACAUUCCCCAUCCCAGCCUGUCCCCAGCGCCCCUCCAGGACCCUGCCAGGAGAGCCCCAUUCCCAGCAGGGAACAUGAGCCAGCACAGGGCAAAGGGACAGGGCUACGUCACGGUCACAAGGGCUGGCAGCACUGGGGGAAAACCAGGUCUGGGACCAGUCUAA